GCCUGGGUGGCUUAGUCAGCUAAGCAUCUGACUUCAGCUCAGGUUAUCAUCUUCUGGGUUUUGAGUUCAAGUCCCACAUCGGGCU
This 85-nucleotide transfer RNA is filed under the name Felis catus (domestic cat). It matches the Rfam family "tRNA". Rfam says of the family: Transfer RNA (tRNA) molecules are approximately 80 nucleotides in length. Their secondary structure includes four short double-helical elements and three loops (D, anti-codon, and T loops). RNAcentral also lists the same sequence under 2 other names. Lineage: Eukaryota; Metazoa; Chordata; Mammalia; Carnivora; Felidae. The record is from Rfam by way of RNAcentral.